RNAcentral lists this ribosomal RNA (1011 nucleotides) under Escherichia coli. Its description in RNAcentral is "partial 23S ribosomal RNA". It matches the Rfam family "Bacterial large subunit ribosomal RNA", at positions 1920 to 2925 of the family's 2925-position model. The record is from RNAcentral. Lineage: Bacteria; Pseudomonadati; Pseudomonadota; Gammaproteobacteria; Enterobacterales; Enterobacteriaceae.
CCGGUAAACGGCGGCCGUAACUAUAACGGUCCUAAGGUAGCGAAAUUCCUUGUCGGGUAAGUUCCGACCUGCACGAAUGGCGUAAUGAUGGCCAGGCUGUCUCCACCCGAGACUCAGUGAAAUUGAACUCGCUGUGAAGAUGCAGUGUACCCGCGGCAAGACGGAAAGACCCCGUGAACCUUUACUAUAGCUUGACACUGAACAUUGAGCCUUGAUGUGUAGGAUAGGUGGGAGGCUUUGAAGUGUGGACGCCAGUCUGCAUGGAGCCGACCUUGAAAUACCACCCUUUAAUGUUUGAUGUUCUAACGUUGGCCCCUGAUCGGGGUUGCGGACAGUGUCUGGUGGGUAGUUUGACUGGGGCGGUCUCCUCCUAAAGAGUAACGGAGGAGCACGAAGGUUGGCUAAUCCUGGUCGGACAUCAGGAGGUUAGUGCAAUGGCAUAAGCCAGCUUGACUGCGAGCGUGACGGCGCGAGCAGGUGCGAAAGCAGGUCAUAGUGAUCCGGUGGUUCUGAAUGGAAGGGCCAUCGCUCAACGGAUAAAAGGUACUCCGGGGAUAACAGGCUGAUACCGCCCAAGAGUUCAUAUCGACGGCGGUGUUUGGCACCUCGAUGUCGGCUCAUCACAUCCUGGGGCUGAAGUAGGUCCCAAGGGUAUGGCUGUUCGCCAUUUAAAGUGGUACGCGAGCUGGGUUUAGAACGUCGUGAGACAGUUCGGUCCCUAUCUGCCGUGGGCGCUGGAGAACUGAGGGGGGCUGCUCCUAGUACGAGAGGACCGGAGUGGACGCAUCACUGGUGUUCGGGUUGUCAUGCCAAUGGCACUGCCCGGUAGCUAAAUGCGGAAGAGAUAAGUGCUGAAAGCAUCUAAGCACGAAACUUGCCCCGAGAUGAGUUCUCCCUGACCCUUUAAGGGUCCUGAAGGAACGUUGAAGACGACGACGUUGAUAGGCCGGGUGUGUAAGCGCAGCGAUGCGUUGAGCUAACCGGUACUAAUGAACCGUGAGGCUUAACCUU